GAUGAACGCUAGCGACAGGCCUAACACAUGCAAGUCGAGGGGCAGCACGGUGUAGCAAUACACGGGUGGCGACCGGCGCACGGGUGAGUAACGCGUAUGCAACCUGCCUACUACAAGGGGAUAACCCGUUGAAAGACGGACUAAUACCCUAUAACACAGGGAAUCCGCAUGGAUAUAUUUGUUAAAGAUUUAUCGGUAGUAGAUGGGCAUGCGUUCCAUUAGCUUGUUGGUGAGGUAACGGCUCACCAAGGCAACGAUGGAUAGGGGAACUGAGAGGUUGAUCCCCCACACUGGAACUGAGACACGGUCCAGACUCCUACGGGAGGCAGCAGUGAGGAAUAUUGGUCAAUGGACGAGAGUCUGAACCAGCCAAGUCGCGUGAAGGAAGACGGCCCUACGGGUUGUAAACUUCUUUUGUAAGGGAAUAAAUAGUCUUACGUGCUAAGACGUUGCAGGUACCUUACGAAUAAGGAUCGGCUAACUCCGUGCCAGCAGCCGCGGUAAUACGGAGGAUCCGAGCGUUAUCCGGAUUUAUUGGGUUUAAAGGGUGCGCAGGCGGCAUGUUAAGUCGGCGGUGAAAUUUUGCAGCUCAACUGUAAAAGAGCCUUCGAAACUGGCAAGCUUGAGUGUGGAUGAAGUAGGCGGAAUUUGUGGUGUAGCGGUGAAAUGCAUAGAUAUCACAAAGAACACCGAUUGCGCAGGCAGCUUACUAAACCAUAACUGACGCUCAUGCACGAAGGCGUGGGGAUCAAACAGGAUUAGAUACCCUGGUAGUCCACGCAGUAAACGAUGAUUACUGGCUGUUUGCGAUACAAUGUAAGCGGCUGAGCGAAAGCGUUAAGUAAUCCACCUGGGGAGUACGUUCGCAAGAAUGAAACUCAAAGGAAUUGACGGGGGCCCGCACAAGCGGAGGAACAUGUGGUUUAAUUCGAUGAUACGCGAGGAACCUUACCCGGGCUUGAAAUGCAUCUGACGUAUUCGGAAACGGAUAUUCCCUACGGGGCAGAUGUGUAGGUGCUGCAUGGUUGUCGUCAGCUCGUGCCGUGAGGUGUCGGCUUAAGUGCCAU
RNAcentral lists this ribosomal RNA (1067 nucleotides) under uncultured bacterium. RNAcentral's name for it is "bacterial SSU rRNA". It matches the Rfam family "Bacterial small subunit ribosomal RNA", at positions 28 to 1090 of the family's 1533-position model. The record is from RNAcentral.